Molecule: ribosomal RNA, 433 nt
Filed under: uncultured bacterium
Lineage: Bacteria
Description: partial 16S ribosomal RNA
Rfam family: Bacterial small subunit ribosomal RNA
Source: RNAcentral
AGCGAACGCUGGCGGCAGGCCUAACACAUGCAAGUCGAACGAACUCUUCGGAGUUAGUGGCGGACGGGUGAGUAACACGUGGGAACGUGCCUUUAGGUUCGGAAUAACUCAGGGAAACUUGUGCUAAUACCGAAUGUGCCCUUCGGGGGAAAGAUUUAUCGCCUUUAGAGCGGCCCGCGUCUGAUUAGCUAGUUGGUGAGGUAAAUGCUCACCACGGCGACGAUCAGUAGCUGGUCUGAGAGGAUGAUCAGCCACAUUGGGACUGAGACACGGCCCAAACUCCUACGGGAGGCAGCAGUGGGGAAUCUUGCGCAAUGGGCGAAAGCAUGACGCAGCCAUGACGCGUGAAUGAUGAAGGUCGUAGGAUUGUAAAAUUCUUUCACCGGGGACGAUAAUGACGGUACCCGGAGAAGAAGCCCCGGCUAACUUCGUG